Molecule: ribosomal RNA, 486 nt
Filed under: uncultured bacterium
Lineage: Bacteria
Description: partial 16S ribosomal RNA
Rfam family: Bacterial small subunit ribosomal RNA
Source: RNAcentral
AUUGAACGCUGGCGGCAUGCCUUACACAUGCAAGUCGAACGGCAGCACGGGUGCUUGCACCGGUGGCGAGUGGCGAACGGGGGAGGAAUACAUCGGAACACGUCCUGUAGUGGGGGAUAGGCCGGCGAAAACCGGAAUUAUACCGCAUACGAAACACGGACGAAAGGGGGGGGCCUUCGGGCCUCGCGCCUUAGGGUUGGGCGAACGCUGAUUAGCUAGUUGGUGGGGGAAAGGCCUACCAAGGCGACGAUCAGUAAUUGGGCUGAGAGGACGGCCAGCCACACUGGGAAUGGGACACGGCCCAGUCUCCUACGGGAAGGAGCAGGGGGGAAAUUUGGACAAGAGGCGGAAGCCUUAUCCAGCAAUGCCGCGUGUGUGAAGAAGGCCGUCGGGUUGUAAAGCACCUUUGUCCGGAAAGAAAACCUUGACUCUAAUACAGUCGGGGGAUGAAGGUACCGGAAGAAUAAGCACCGGGUAACUACGUGC